This 553-nucleotide ribosomal RNA is filed under the name uncultured archaeon. RNAcentral's name for it is "bacterial SSU rRNA". It matches the Rfam family "Archaeal small subunit ribosomal RNA", at positions 326 to 879 of the family's 1478-position model. The record is from RNAcentral.
CGGGGUGCAGCAGGCGCGAAAACUUUACACUGCGGGAAACCGUGAUAAGGGGACACCGAGUGCCAGCAUCAUAUGCUGGCUGUCCAGGUGUGUAAAAUACACCUGUUAGCAAGGGCCGGGCAAGACCGGUGCCAGCCGCCGCGGUAACACCGGCGGCCCGAGUGGUGAUCGUGAUUAUUGGGUCUAAAGGGUCCGUAGCCGGUUUGGUCAGUCCUCCGGGAAAUCUGACGGCUCAACCGUUAGGCUUUCGGGGGAUACUGCCAGGCUUGGAACCGGGAGAGGUAAGAGGUACUACAGGGGUAGGAGUGAAAUCUUGUAAUCCCUGUGAGACCACCUGUGGCGAAGGCGUCUUACCAGAACGGGUUCGACGGUGAGGGACGAAAGCUGGGGGCACGAACCGGAUUAGAUACCCGGGUAGUCCCAGCCGUAAACGAUGCUCGCUAGGUGUCAGGCAUGGCGCGACCGUGUCUGGUGCCGCAGGGAAGCCGUGAAGCGAGCCACCUGGGAAGUACGGCCGCAAGGCUGAAACUUAAAGGAAUUGGCGGGGGAGCAC